UACGUAGGUGGCAAGCGUUGUCCGGAUUUACUGGGUGUAAAGGGCGUGCAGCCGGGCUGACAAGUCAGAUGUGAAAUCCCGCGGCUCAACCGCGGAACUGCAUUUGAAACUGUCAGUCUUGAGUACCGGAGAGGUCAUCGGAAUUCCUUAUGUAGCGGUGAAAUGCGUAGAUAUAAGGAAGAACACCAGUGGCGAAGGCGGCUUACUGGACGGCAACUGACGCUGAGGCUCGAAAGCGUGGGGAGCAAACAGG
This 253-nucleotide ribosomal RNA is filed under the name uncultured bacterium. RNAcentral's name for it is "partial 16S ribosomal RNA". It matches the Rfam family "Bacterial small subunit ribosomal RNA", at positions 524 to 776 of the family's 1533-position model. The record is from RNAcentral.